UACGUAGGGGGCAAGCGUUGUCCGGAAUUAUUGGGCGUAAAGCGCGUGUAGGCGGCCAGAAAAGUCCGCUGUGAAAACUCGAGGCUCAACUUCGAGCUGUCGGUGGAAACUUUCUGGCUAGAGUCCGGAAGAGGAGAAUGGAAUUCCUGGUGUAGCGGUGAAAUGCGCAGAUAUCAGGAGGAACACCGGUGGCGAAGGCGGAUCUCUGGGCCUUACCUGACGCUGAGGCGCGAAAGCUAGGGGAGCGAACAGG
Molecule: ribosomal RNA, 253 nt
Filed under: uncultured bacterium
Lineage: Bacteria
Description: partial 16S ribosomal RNA
Rfam family: Bacterial small subunit ribosomal RNA
Source: RNAcentral